RNAcentral lists this ribosomal RNA (254 nucleotides) under uncultured bacterium. RNAcentral's name for it is "partial 16S ribosomal RNA". It matches the Rfam family "Bacterial small subunit ribosomal RNA", at positions 524 to 776 of the family's 1533-position model. The record is from RNAcentral.
UACGUAGGGUGCGAGCGUUGUCCGGAAUUAUUGGGCGUAAAGAGUUCGUAGGCGGUGUGUCACGUCGUUCGUGAAAACCUGCAGCUUAACUGUGGGCGUGCGGUCGAUACGGGCAUCACUGGAGUUCGGCAGGGGAGACUGGAAUUCCUGGUGUAGCGGUGAAAUGCGCAGAUAUCAGGAGGAACACCGGUGGCGAAGGCGGCAUCCUGGACCGAUAUUGACGCUGAUGCGCGAAAGCCAGGGGAGCAAACGGG